This is a long non-coding RNA of Pyrus x bretschneideri (Chinese white pear), 628 nucleotides long. RefSeq lists it as uncharacterized. NCBI's taxonomy places the organism in Eukaryota, Viridiplantae, Streptophyta, Magnoliopsida, Rosales, Rosaceae. The record is from RefSeq and is a predicted model, not a curated record. The transcript is spliced from 3 exons.
CAGAGAGAGAUCGCAGAAAGAGGAGGAUGACAAAAAUUGAGGAGGAGCCCAUGUCUACAGAGACUGAGUAAGUUCUGAACCAAAGCUUAUUUUCUCUAAUUUUUGGCUAUGCGACAGCAAAUUUCGGAAGCAGAAGAAUCAAGGAACCUUGCGUUUAGAGUUUAAUCCUAAUUUUUUUUCUCUUUGCAGGACAAAAAACUACCAGGGAAGGAAGAGAUUACCAAGAAUGUAAAACCCAGACAGGAGAAGACAAGCAAUGGCGAAGGUACCAAGGCUGUAGAUCUUUGAUAAAAGCACUGACAAUAUCAUCGCUCUUUCCAAACCUUUAUUUUUUGAUUAGGGAUUUGCAUAUUGCUAAAAGAGAGGAAGACAUUGGCUAUUGUGUUGGAUAUUUAGCUGAGUUGAUGAUUGUCGCUACUUACCUUUUGUAUUCUUCACCGUUUUGUUCCUUAACAAGUGUCUUUCUUUGAAGGGGCUUUAUAGAUGCUUGGCAGAGUCCUGGCAUCAAUUUUUUGGGGAAUGGUGGCUGAUAUUGACUCAGAUGAAGCCCCUAUUUAUAUAUCCUGAUCAUUUUUAUGUUCUAUCUUUUCUGACUUGGAUGAUAUUGAUCAAAUGAAUGAGUUAGAAA